AGACUCCCUGCGACAAGGACUGUGUACUGCAUGAAUGAGGCCGAGAUAGUCGAUGUUGCUCUGGGAAUCCUGAUUGAGGUUCCCAGUUGGGUAGAUGACUUCUUAGCCAUUGCCCCUCUCCUGA
This 124-nucleotide small RNA is filed under the name Pan troglodytes (chimpanzee). RNAcentral describes it as "processed transcript". The record is from RNAcentral. Lineage: Eukaryota; Metazoa; Chordata; Mammalia; Primates; Hominidae. RNAcentral also lists the same sequence under 1 other name.